RNAcentral lists this ribosomal RNA (499 nucleotides) under uncultured Glomeromycotina. RNAcentral describes it as "partial small subunit ribosomal RNA". It matches the Rfam family "Eukaryotic small subunit ribosomal RNA", at positions 591 to 1092 of the family's 1831-position model. Lineage: Eukaryota; Fungi; Glomeromycota. The record is from RNAcentral.
CCAAUAGCGUAUAUUAAAGUUGUUGCAGUUAAAAAGCUCGUAGUUGAAUUUCGGGAUCAAUAUGUUGGUCGUGCCUUGGUACGUACUGGCAUUAUUGGUUUCUACUUUCUGAAGAACCUCGAUGUCAUUAAUUUGGUGUCUUGGGGAAUCAGGACUGUUACUUUGAAAAAAUUAGAGUGUUUAAAGCAGGCUCGCGCUUGAAUACAUUAGCAUGGAAUAAUGAAAUAGGACGUUUGAUUCUAUUUUGUUGGUUUCUAGGAUCGACGUAAUGAUUAAUAGGGAUAGUUGGGGGCAUUAGUAUUCAAUUGUCAGAGGUGAAAUUCUUGGAUUUAUUGAAGACUAACUACUGCGAAAGCAUUUGCCAAGGAUGUUUUCAUUAAUCAAGAACGAAAGUUAGGGGAUCGAAGACGAUCAGAUACCGUCGUAGUCUUAACCAUAAACUAUGCCGACUAGGGAUCGGAUGAUGUUAAUUUUUUAAUGACUCAUUCGGCGCCUUACG